Molecule: unclassified non-coding RNA, 921 nt
Filed under: Hevea brasiliensis (rubber tree)
Lineage: Eukaryota; Viridiplantae; Streptophyta; Magnoliopsida; Malpighiales; Euphorbiaceae
Source: RNAcentral
UCACAAGCACACUAGGCUGUUUUAAAAUGUAAAGCUCUUUACAAAUUUAAUCUGUUUUGGCCAAGCACAAACUAAUCUCCUCUUUCAAAGUCUACAAAGAAAGAAAAAUCUUUAAAACGAUACGACUUGUAUGUCACUCUCAUGGUACUACUACUUCUCUAUCAGUCACCCAGGAGUAAUUAAACCUUGCAAGGAUGUCCUUGUUGAUUCACACGGGAUUACACAUGCCCCAUGCUACUCGGGUCAGACCAUAAGCUAGUGAUAAUCUCGCCAAGAAAUCUCCGACUUGAAUCCGCCUGAUGUACUUAGCUGGAAACACUCUUCUUUCUAUGGUAAGUAGGAGAGAAGAAAUCCUGUCGCUGUUAUUCUUCAACAUCCUCACUAGUCUGCUGCCCAUUCUCUGGAUUUCUAGGGGCACUAUGCUUUUUAUGCUUCUUGCUCCUAGCUUUCUUGGCUUUCAUUCGGCGUUUUUUCUCAUUUGCAUCAACCCAAGCAUAAUCUGAAGGUAUACGGAAAGGGUCAAUCUCAUCCUGGAAACUGUGGUUUUUACUGUCGCUAGAUAGCUCAUCACGGUUCCCCUUCAUCCAUGAAAUCCAUGAUGUAGAGCCAUCAGAUUCCUUAGACUUAGCAUCUUGGAAAUUUGUAGGACUUGAAAGAGGGGUUGAAAAUUCGUCCACUGGUUCGAGCUCUUCAAAUUUUGUAAAUGUAACAAGAACUCGAAUUGUUGGAACAAUAGGGAUAGCAACCUUGACAGGAAACGUGCCAGGAGGUAAUUUAGUAGUUAAAAGCUCCCUUAAUCUUCUGACAGCUUUAACCUUGUUGGCUAGAAUGUCAAGCAAUGGCAACAGUUCUUCUGUUUUCAGUGGGAAGUCCGGUGUCAACCACAAAACAGGUCUUAAUCCUUUUUUAUACUCACUUUCG